GACGAACGCUGGCGGCGUGCCUAAUACAUGCAAGUUGAGCGAUGAAGAUUGGUGCUUGCACCAAUUUGAAGAGCAGCGAACGGGUGAGUAACGCGUGGGGAAUCUGCCUUUGAGCGGGGGACAACAUUUGGAAACGAAUGCUAAUACCGCAUAACAACUUUAAACAUAAGUUUUAAGUUUGAAAGAUGCAAUUGCAUCACUCAAGGAUGAUCCCGCGUUGUAUUAGCUAGUUGGUGAGGUAAAGGCUCACCAAGGCGAUGAUACAUAGCCGACCUGAGAGGGUGAUCGGCCACAUUGGGACUGAGACACGGCCCAAACUCCUACGGGAGGCAGCAGUAGGGAAUCUUCGGCAAUGGACGAAAGCCUGACCGAGCAACGCCGCGUGAGUGAAGAAGGUUUUCGGAUCGUAAAACUCUGUUGGUAGAGAAGAACGUUGGUGAGAGUGGAAAGCUCAUCAAGUGACGGUAACUACCCAGAAAGGGACGGCUAACUACGUG
This 497-nucleotide ribosomal RNA is filed under the name uncultured bacterium. RNAcentral's name for it is "partial 16S ribosomal RNA". It matches the Rfam family "Bacterial small subunit ribosomal RNA", at positions 28 to 507 of the family's 1533-position model. The record is from RNAcentral.